This 106-nucleotide ribosomal RNA is filed under the name Lepisosteus oculatus (spotted gar). The record is from RNAcentral. Lineage: Eukaryota; Metazoa; Chordata; Actinopteri; Semionotiformes; Lepisosteidae.
GCCAGCAGCCAGUCACAACUGGCAACCCACUGAAGCUAAGCAGGUGUGAGCCUGGUCAAUACCUGGAUGGGAGACCUCCUGGGAAAAACUAAGGUUGCUGCUGGAA